This 425-nucleotide ribosomal RNA is filed under the name uncultured cyanobacterium. RNAcentral describes it as "bacterial SSU rRNA". It matches the Rfam family "Bacterial small subunit ribosomal RNA", at positions 356 to 796 of the family's 1533-position model. Lineage: Bacteria; Bacillati; Cyanobacteriota. The record is from RNAcentral.
UGGGAAUUUUCCGCAAUGGGUGAAAGCCUGACGGAGCAACGCCGCGUGAGGGACGAAGGCCUCUGGGCUGUAAACCUCUCUUCUCAAGGAAGAAGAUAUGACGGUACUUGAGGAAUAAGCCACGGCUAAUUCCGUGCCAGCAGCCGCGGUAAUACGGGAGUGGCAAGCGUUAUCCGGAAUUAUUGGGCGUAAAGCGUCCGCAGGCGGCUUUUCAAGUCUGCUGUUAAAGCGUGGAGCUUAACUCCAUCAUGGCAGUGGAAACUGAAAGGCUUGAGUAUGGUAGGGGCAGAGGGAAUUCCCGGUGUAGCGGUGAAAUGCGUAGAUAUCGGGAAGAACACCAGUGGCGAAGGCGCUCUGCUGGGCCAUUACUGACGCUCAUGGACGAAAGCCUGGGGAGCGAAAGGGAUUAGAUACCCCUGUAGUCA